CACCAUGUUCUGUUGCACAACAUGCCACACAAAGGUAAACCUCACCAUCACGUUUUCUGCCGUGACAGUGUGAAGGGGAAGUUUGAGUGGAUGAGGGCUGUUGUGCAGGGCUGCACCACAACCGCCCAUCAGUUGCCCUGCUGUGUCCGAGCUGAGCACACCACAUCUCCACCUGGGGAAGAAGAAGACAGAAGAGUGUUCACACAGAGAUGCUGCUCCUGGCCCUGGUCCUGGCACUGCUGCCCUGCUCUGCUCAGGUCACUGAAGAUGUAAACACCCCAUAUGUGGGCUCAGCAAGUGAAAGCCCCUCCCUCGCCGAGGCCAGAGACCAGCUCCCACCCCGAGCUCCGGCCUCUCAGUGCUGUGACAGCCUGAAGGAGCCACUCUCGCAGCUGGUUGAGGAGCAGCGUGAGGCCAGGGGCUGGUACGCCGAGAUGGUCAAGUUGCUCACGCAGCUGCUGCAGGAGAACAAAGAGCUGGCCAGCAGUCAGACUGAGGUCCUGAAAGUCCUGCAGGUCAUGCAGGAGCAGCAGGAGAAAUCGCUCGGCCACCUGGGAAAUUUGGCACGCCAUCAGAGCCUCCUCGUGGAGAACCACCAGGCCCUGCUCAUACAAGUCUCACGCAUCACUGCUCAGAUCCAGGAACUGACCAAGAAGCAGAGUCAAUAGAAGCUGUGUUAGCCCUGAACCCCGAACCCUGAACUUUAACCCGACUAAUCUCUCUGAUCCCUGCUGGAGGCUGCCCAGCCGGGCAGAAGAACUAGAAAAAAUGAUGUCUGACAGUUCAUGAUAUGCUAAUACAUAUAAUCACAUACCAAUUAACAUGAUCUAUAAGAAAUAUUACCAGAUCAUUUCUUUUUGUAAUUGAUUUCUUUGUAUCUCAUUCUGUAUCUGAAGCAUUAACAAUGAAAAAAUGAAUAAAGAAAAAUAGCAUGCUUACUAGA
Molecule: long non-coding RNA, 943 nt
Organism: Electrophorus electricus (electric eel)
Lineage: Eukaryota; Metazoa; Chordata; Actinopteri; Gymnotiformes; Gymnotidae
Source: Ensembl